CCUGGAGAAACAGCUUCUGACAAGGACAAAAAUCAGUAUUGGAUGCUGUGAUUGUCAGCACCUCAGAUGGCACUGAUUUAGGAACAGACAUGACCCUGCUAUAGAAAUCACUGCAUGGGCUCAGAAACACUUCCAGAAAUCACUGUCUGUGAACACAGCUCACUGUUCUAUGAUGGUUAAAGAUUCUUCUUCUUCCUAAAAUGUUGACUUUACUCAGCUGAUGUUCUAUUGUGAUUAUAAUCUGUGUUUAUGUGAUCUCUAAAUCUAUGCAUUCUGUUGUUAUUUAUGUUUUACACAGUGUUCCACGUUUUUCAAAACUGGGGUUGUGCAAUGAAUCUGAUACUUGGCAGGAAACAUCUUCCUCCCUUCCUAUGCUUUCUGGAGCCAUGGUUGCUAAAAUUUAAGCUUUGCCAAGACUUUCCUCAUGAGCCCACAGUUUAAAGCUGUUUUUACUGGGAUUUUGUUCAGAGAAUGCUGAUGCUGGAUCACAGAAAGACGUCUGAUUCAGGGGAAGUAGAUUUUUGGGAGGUGCCACUGGUGGAAGCCACAUGAUAGAUGGAGAUCUGGGUAAACUUGAAAGAAGACGCCUUUUACCUGACAUCCACUGGAUCCCUCUCCUACAUUCAGACCACUCCUUUAGUUUCAUGUGAAGAUAUCUCACAUUCAGUUGGCAUCUGGAAUCCACCUACCAAGCCUCACCAGCCUAACCUCUCCUGGAUUCUGGUUCGAACCUGCGGGUAACUUCCCUUCCAAACUGCCAGUGUCUCCUGCCUGCCUCCCUGUAUUGCACUCAGUACUCACCUGGACCCCUGUCUCACGCCAUCCCCCCUCCAAGCAAACUCCACCUGCAAAGAUGUAAGGCAGCUCAAUGAAAUUACUCUUGGAUUAACUAACAACUCUCUUUUGGAUAGCUUCCCCUGCCCAGUCUCUGCACCCAGUCGUCACAGUGAUUUUGUCUUACUUUAGUUAAAGUUAUAGUCUCCUCUACCUCAGACGUCUAGUUUAUGUUUCUUCUGAAUAAUAGUCUGAGUUUUCCGUUGCUAACAAGCGUUGUGAAUAAAGUUCUUUUGUUGCACCGCC
Molecule: long non-coding RNA, 1080 nt
Organism: Oreochromis aureus
Lineage: Eukaryota; Metazoa; Chordata; Actinopteri; Cichliformes; Cichlidae
Exons: 2
Source: RefSeq, a predicted model, not a curated record